ACUGUAACACUUUGAAGAGAAGUUUUUAUGUUGGUUCUGAUACUUUUUGUCAAAUAUGGUCAGCAUAUGUGGCAAACAGGGAAGUUAGCAAGCCUCAAGCCCAGACCACAUGUGGCUGUGAGCUACCGUUAUAGCUGUAGCUUAAAAGCUGAGCCCGCUACACCCUCUGAAAGACAGUGUGUAGAUUCCGCCAAAGACGCCGGCGAUCCCUGCCAAAAUACUGUCGCUCAUCCGGCUAGAGUGAAAAUAUUGAUAUGGCAUGAAACUAAACGAUCUAAGGAAUCCAUUGGUUCAAAGCAUGCCAGGCUAGGUUGUUGGCAAGUGGACUAUAUAAUCCUCCAAAGUUAGGCUAAAUUUUGGCGAGGGAAAACAAGUGGGUCCCUUGACAUCUCAUUACAAAAUAUGUGAAUGAAAAAGGCUUCUGUGGUACUGAUGGGUUUCCCUUCUGCGGACAUGUCCACUUUAUGUUAAUAACAUGCAGUUUAGGCAAAAACCAUGCAGUUUUUUUCAUGCAGUGUUGAAAAUACAUAUAAAUGUGUUAUUUUUCAACCCUAUCCUAUAAUGGUGUAUUAGAUUAUUUCUGCAUACUGUAGCCUUAAACAGUCCUGGAGUUACAUACAUUUGAUAUGACUGGGAAGCUGAGACUCCUGUGGAUACAAUGAGCCUAAAUAUACUCAUGUGUAUUCAUUUUAGACCACAGUAGCUAUUUCAUUGUAGUGAGACUAUUUAGACCAUUAUGAGACAAAGGAUAAAAUUAACUAAGAAACACGUUUAAAAAAAAAAAAAAAAAAAAAAAAUCUAACUUAUACUGUUAUGUAUUUUACAGAAUGGAGAACCCAGCAGGAAAUUCUAAAACAGACAUGCUCAGAGUGUGCAAUCAAAGAAGAACCAGACCCCCGCUCACCCAAAGAUGACAUUGUUAUUUUACUGCACGGUUCUUUUUUCUUUUCUUUGAAUUAUAUUCUUAAAUUGCAUUCAUUCGUUAAAAAGGUCUUUAAAAACUCUGUAAUUUUUUCAAUUCAAUUUAACCUGUUGAAACCUCUGCAACACCGAGAUAGAGAGUUAAAAUGAGCACAGUACAAAGACUGGACAUUGACUAGAAAUAAGUAGUUUCCAUUGGGCACAAUGCUGUUACUGUAUGUAAGAAUUAAUUUGUAAUUUGUGCUUUCUUUUAUUCUUCAUGUACUGUGGUACAGUGGAUGGAUGGACAUCGGUUGAGAAAACUACGGUCAUCAUAUGAUUCACUAUCACAGGGUGAGGAGCUAUGGAGAGAGAUCAUCAGUUUCACCUGUACAUCAAGUUCUAUUAAUGGUUUUAUCCAAAGCGACUUACAAAUGAUGGACGACACUUAAGCCCAGUGCAGUAGGAGACCUUGAUGUAAGUACUAAGUACAUCUAUUCAAUAGAUAUGGCGGGUCUGUGUUGUCUUAGCUUAUCUUCUGUUAAGAUCUGUACAUGUCCUGUACAAUUUCUCCAGCACAUGUAUAAUUUCCCACAAAAAACAUAAAUUUACCUUUCAACCAAAAUGUAUCAGUGACUGAUCUCUCACAAUAUUUUCACACUUGUAACACUACCAGUGAGUUAAGCCCACAGUGACAUAAAAAUGUGAAACCAGUGGGAACCUAUGUGAUAGCAUGUGUCAUUUCAUGCACCAUUACUUUGCCGUAUCACUCACCACACUAAGUCUAAUUGUGUUGACAGGCUGUUGGUAUCUGGAGUAUUAUGAUAGUAUUGUGUUGCCAUUGCUACACUGACCACACACAUUGCCAUAAUUCAUGCAGUCAGUUUGAUGAAACCAAUGAUGUACUGGGGGCUUCCUAUACUGCCCCAUUUUCAGUGCCCCGUUUCUUCUUCCAUUGCCCCUUGUGCUGCAACUGUUGAAGCCUCCAGCAAUCAGUCUGUCUCAUUUGGCUUGGAUUACAUGUCAGAAGGAUUUGAGGAAAAUGCACAGGCCUUCUCCUUCCUGAAGGCAAAAUACAAAAGAAUCCAGGGCUGUUCCAGGACUACACCACACUGUGAUUGUGUUGGAGCAUGCAAAUAUGUGGAUCACCAAAGUGUACUAGAAAUAAGUAAUUAUAAAAUAAAUAAUCAAUAAAAAAUAUAUAAAGGAACCAAUAAAUUGUGAAAUAGGUUAAGUAAAUAUUAAAACUCAAGGCAUUACUAUGAAAUGUUAUUUCAUCAUUCUUUUUUUUUUUUUACAUCAUUACAGAGAUUUAUGGGAGUUUAUUUUAAUUUCAUUAUGGAAAUUUUUAUUUAGAAUUGCCCCUUUUCAAAAAUCUGUUUUCAUUUAUUAAUGGCACAGUGUCACAUUUUAUUUCGUGACACUUUUCAUAAUGCCUCUUUUUACUUCCUGUUAGCUAAAGCAACACAAUGAACUAACAAAACUGAACAAUUAAAUAACAUGUCAUAAUAAUAAGUAUUAGUACAUUAUUUAACAAUUUAUUUAUAGAUUUUAUAAUCAUAUUUUAAUAACAAUAUUAAUAUUAUUUUUCAAUAUCUCAUUUAUAUACAUUUUUACUAUUGAACACUUUGGGCUUCCAUACCAAUGUGCAUUACAAUUUAGGUUACUGUGUUCCUGUGGAUGCAAGUGUGUGCUCUCUUAGGUUUGUGUGUGCAUUGUUGGAUCAAUACAGAGCAUAAGUGCAUUUAAGAGCUUUAUUAGUGGUUUUACUGCUUGUCUGUGGUAGGAAUUUUGCAAAUUCACAUUAAGUAUAGUACAGUAUAUGUAUUAGUAUACAAGGAACAUUCAGUAUCUCUCACAUUUGUACAAUUCAGUCCUGGUGCACUGUCAGUCUUGUCAAUAUGAGCUACAUUUCCAGGGCUUUUUUUAAUUUUUCAUCCUCCAAAGACGGUCUUUUAGUUCCCCGUCUCCAACCUCCCACCACCAUCUGCAAGAUUACUUUGUUACUCUCAAGUGCAAUAUCAUGACAUGUUCACCUUCAGUUGGGUUUUCUGUUCAAGCAAUUCAACCUCUGGUCAAUUAAAUCUUUAAUAUCGAUCAAACCAAACAAAUACUGUCCAAGGAAUGGCCCCAAUCUUCAGUACAAGUUUCUGACAAACUCUCAAGACAUGUCAUGUUGACUAAGCUAUUGUAGAAUGGACAAAGGGCUUUCAGGGAAGGUCUUUCUAUGGUGAUGGAUAAUAUUGAACACAAGCACUUAACAAAAAUAAUUUCUUUGGUGUCGUUAAACCAAAGUGGAGAGUGUUUCCUAUUACUACCUACUAUUAAUUAAUAAACUUCAUCAAUUUAUCAAAGCAAAGUCAUAUUAAGACCUUUAGGUUUUGUGCAACAUUUCGGGUAACUAAGAACUUGCAUUUCUUUCAACUUUUUACUUAAAAUGCAACAUGUUCCUUGAGUCAAAGCCUCAAGGAAAAAAUGUAAUAAAGUAGGUUGUACACAUCUAGACUAUAGUUUGUCUAUUUUUGUUAUUUAAUGAAUACUUACUGUUGCAACACUUAAAUUUAUGCACAUAUAUCUGAUAUUUUGGGAAAUAUUGCUUUCUUGCCAAGACUAAGAUAAAAAGAUUGAUACCACUCGAUACCACUAUUGAUACCACUCUGUAUAUGUCUGAUACAUGUCAGCAGUCAGUUAGCUUAGCUCGGCAUAAAGACUAGAAACUUAUGGAAACAGCUAGCCUAGCUCUGACCCAGCACAACACUUUUUUUUUUAUGUAUUAAACAAACAACAGAGCCAAGUGAACUGUUUCCCUCUACAUCCAGUCUUUAUGCUAAGCUAAGCUGCUAGCUCUAGCUAAAUUUAUCAUAAACAUGCCUAAGAGUGGCAUCAAUCUUCUCAUAUAGCUCUCAGCAAAAAGGUGAGUGAGUGUAUUUCACUACUCAAGUGGUGCUCUACUAAAUGGGCGAUUUGAGUCUAGAGUUCUGAUUAGGUAUUUUAAUUAUGUGUUCCCCAUGUGUCCAGUCUUAAUGACACAAUACCUUAAUACACCUGAUGGUAAAUAAUUUGUCAAUUGCACCAAAUACCUCACAAAGGUACCUCUCUACCCUUUGGGCUUUCUUCUAAACUUGGACAGCACUGAUAUUGUAACAAAGUCCCCAUUCACAUAUUAUACAGUGGCACCUUCCAGGCGUUAACUAAGAUAAAAACUGAAAAUGAAAAUUACAAAUUAUUUACAAGUUUAAAAAAAAACAAGAACUCAAGAAGAUAUACUUACAAAAACAGAAAUAUACAACAUCAGCGGACACCUGAAAUAGUUCCCAGGCACUUGUGAUGCAAAACAGACAAACAUUAUUACACAUGUAAGUGCUACGAUCUAGGACAAUAAGAGAAAUGUAAUACCAUAUACAAUUGUUAUUUGGGAAUUAAAAUACAACAAACCUUUGAGAGUAGAGUGAGAAUACCUUCAUUUAAAGUAACACUACAGCAUGAAGCUCAGUAUGCUAAUGGUUAGUAACAAUGUACAAUCUGUACCCAGAGUAACAGAUGAAGUGGUGAUAUAGGUAAGUUUAGCACAGUAAACUAUUUGCUCCUUCACAUUUUCCCCCAAAAUAGACGAUAAACAAAAAGGGGAAAAAAGUAGGUCUGAUGGGUCAUCAGUUGGCAGCACAAUAAUCAUAUCAUAAUUAUGAUGUUGAAGUAUGCUUUGACAAAUUCAAACCAAAUAGGUGCAACACAAUACAAAGUAAAAAGCACAUAAUGCCAGAGGAAUGCCAUUCUAUACACAAACAAGCUGAUUAAUGCAAAUGCAGAUUCCUGUGUUUCACCUUUACAUUUAAGUAAUCCAAAACUUUUCCGCUUUCCUUUGGCCUGAAUUCAUCCCACAUCCUUUGACGUAUGUCUCUACUGGCUUGCCUUUUAUCCAGAAGCCAUUGUUGAAAACAAUGAGGAAACGAGACACCCUUUUUUUUUUUUUUUUUUUCUCUGUCCCGUUUCCCCA
Long non-coding RNA from Seriola aureovittata, 4894 nucleotides. RefSeq lists it as uncharacterized. The transcript is spliced from 2 exons. The record is from RefSeq and is a predicted model, not a curated record. NCBI's taxonomy places the organism in Eukaryota, Metazoa, Chordata, Actinopteri, Carangiformes, Carangidae.